Dermochelys coriacea (leatherback sea turtle) is the source of this 205-nucleotide long non-coding RNA. RefSeq lists it as uncharacterized. The transcript is spliced from 3 exons. The record is from RefSeq and is a predicted model, not a curated record. Lineage: Eukaryota; Metazoa; Chordata; Testudines; Dermochelyidae.
UCCACUGCAGGUUUGACCAGAAAAUAACUGUUGGGGAUGUUGAAAUGCCUAUAGUUAUCCUUGGGGACCCAGCCUACCCCCUAAUGCCAUGGCUUAUGAAGCCAUACACAGUCACCCUGGACAGUGGUCAGGAGUUGUUCAAUUACAGGCUGAGCAAGUGCAGAAUGGUGGUAGAAUGUGCAUUUGGAUGUUUAAAAGCAUGCUG